RNAcentral lists this ribosomal RNA (460 nucleotides) under uncultured bacterium. RNAcentral's name for it is "partial 16S ribosomal RNA". It matches the Rfam family "Bacterial small subunit ribosomal RNA", at positions 338 to 795 of the family's 1533-position model. The record is from RNAcentral.
CCUACGGGGGGCAGCAGUGAGGAAUAUUGGUCAAUGGACGAGAGUCUGAACCAGCCAAGUAGCGUGAAGGAUGACUGCCCUAUGGGUUGUAAACUUCUUUUAUAUGGGAAUAAAACGUUCCACGUGUGGGUUUUUGUAUGUACCAUAUGAAUAAGGAUCGGCUAACUCCGUGCCAGCAGCCGCGGUAAUACGGAGGAUCCGAGCGUUAUCCGGAUUUAUUGGGUUUAAAGGGAGCGUAGGUGGAUUGUUAAGUCAGUUGUGAAAGUUUGCGGCUCAACCGUAAAAUUGCAGUUGAAACUGGCAGUCUUGAGUACAGUAGAGGUGGGCGGAAUUCGUGGUGUAGCGGUGAAAUGCUUAGAUAUCACGAAGAACUCCGAUUGCGAAGGCAGCUCACUGGACUGCAACUGACACUGAGGCUCGAAAGUGUGGGUAUCAAACAGGAUUAGAUACCCCAGUAGUC